Molecule: ribosomal RNA, 468 nt
Filed under: uncultured bacterium
Lineage: Bacteria
Description: partial 16S ribosomal RNA
Rfam family: Bacterial small subunit ribosomal RNA
Source: RNAcentral
GACGAACGCUGGCGGCGUGCUUAACACAUGCAAGUCGAACGGAAAGGCCCUGCUUUUGUGGGGUGCUCGAGUGGCGAACGGGUGAGUAACACGUGAGUAACCUUCCCUUGACUUUGGGAUAACUUCAGGAAACUGGGGCUAAUACCGGAUAGGAGCUCCUGCUGCAUGGUGGGGGUUGGAACGUUUCGGCGGUUGGGGAUGGACUCGCGGCUUAUCAGCUUGUUGGUGGGGUAGUGGCUUACCAAGGCUUUGACGGGUAGCCGGCCUGAGAGGGUGACCGGCCACAUUGGGACUGAGAUACGGCCCAGACUCCUACGGGAGGCAGCAGUGGGGAAUAUUGCACAAUGGGCGGAAGCCUGAUGCAGCAACGCCGCGUGCGGGAUGACGGCCUUCGGGUUGUAAACCGCUUUCGCCUGUGACGAAGCGUGAGUGACGGUAAUGGGUAAAGAAGCACCGGCUAACUACGUG